RNAcentral lists this long non-coding RNA (613 nucleotides) under Homo sapiens (human). RNAcentral describes it as "HSALNT0124564". Lineage: Eukaryota; Metazoa; Chordata; Mammalia; Primates; Hominidae. The record is from RNAcentral.
CCCCACCCAGAGCCAGGAGUGGGGAGCAGCGGGCAGUCCCAACCUGCCCAGCCCCAGCCCCAGCCCCAUUGCAGUGCACCGGCCCUGCCCCACAGGAGGCCACAUCCUCCCAGGUCGCAGCCUCGGUUCCCUGUCCAAAGGAAGAACUACUUGGAUUCAGAGAAAGGGUUGCAGAGCCCUUGACAGCUGACAAACCCACCACUAGCACUACUCCCGGGAUUUGGUGUUCACUACGUGUGUAUUUUUCAAUACACAUAUUACCCCUUUAGAUAAAGCCCAAUUCAUCCACACCUACUCUCCCAAAGGCCCCCACAGGGGCUCAAUCAUUGAAGGCGCUUGCUGGUGAGGGGCUCCUAGGGCCCACCACUCUCCUCAGCCGUCACCCUCACCCAGGCCCCACAGCAGUCCCCGUACCAUUGCUGAAGGCCACCACGAGCCAGACGGUAUCGCUGGCGCUGGCAAGCCCAUCGAAGACACAGCGCGGCUGCUCCAGGGAGAAGGUGGUGGCUGUGACCUUCCCUUCCAGGUCCCAAGCUGUUAUCUGUGGUGUGUAGGGCACCAGCUCUGUGGCCACGGGGGACAAAAGGACCCCCACUCACCCAGGCUCAGGCUG